This is a non-coding RNA of Physeter macrocephalus (sperm whale), 73 nucleotides long. NCBI's taxonomy places the organism in Eukaryota, Metazoa, Chordata, Mammalia, Artiodactyla, Physeteridae. The record is from the annotation of a RefSeq genome assembly.
UCCCUGGUGGCCCAGUGGUUAGGACUCUACUCUGUCACUGUAGAGGGCCCAGUUUCAAUCCCUGGUCAGGGAA